UGCCGUUUAUAGAGACAUACAUAGGUAUCAUCGUUUCCACAAAUUCAUCAUUCAAAGAUUUCCUUCAUUUUACAACCGAACAGUCCCCCACGAUAGUGCGUACACAAUUUGGAAUCUCCGUUUCCCUUUCUGGAUCGGUAAAUUGAUAAGCGUAUUGGAAGAAUGGGGAGUUUGAGAGCGAUUUUGAAGAAUCCAGAUGAUUUGUAUCCAUUGAUAAAAUUGAAACUAGCGGCUAGACACGCCGAACAGCAGAUCCCACCAGAGCCACAUUGGGCCUUCUGUUACUCAAUGCUUCAUAAGGUUUCUCGUAGCUUUGCUCUCGUCAUUCAACAACUUCCUCUCGAACUUCGUGACGCUGUAUGCAUCUUCUAUUUGGUCCUUCGAGCACUUGACACUGUUGAGGAUGAUACCAGCAUUCCCACUGAUGUUAAAGUACCUAUUCUGAUCUCUUUUCAUCAGCAUGUUUAUGAUCGUGAAUGGCAUUUUUCUUGUGGUACAAAGGAGUACAAGGUUCUCAUGGACCAGUUCCAUCAUGUUUCAACUGCUUUUCUGGAGCUUGGGAAUCAUUAUCAGCUGGCAAUUGAGGAUAUUACCAUGAGGAUGGGUGCAGGAAUGGCAAAAUUUAUAUGCAAGGAGGUGGAAACAACCGAUGAUUAUGACGAAUAUUGUCACUAUGUUGCUGGGCUUGUUGGGUUGGGAUUGUCAAAACUGUUCCAUGCCUCUGGGAAAGAAGAUUUGGCUUCAGAUUCUCUCUCCAACUCCAUGGGUUUAUUUCUGCAGAAAACAAACAUCAUCAGAGAUUAUUUGGAAGACAUAAAUGAAGUGCCCAAGUGCCGUAUGUUCUGGCCCCGUGAGAUUUGGAGUAAAUAUGUUAACAAGCUUGAGGACUUAAAGUACGAGGAGAACUCGGACAAGGCAGUCCAAUGUCUCAAUGACAUGGUCACCAAUUCUUUGUCACAUGUAGAAGAUUGCUUGACUUACAUGUACAAUUUGCGUGAUCCUGCCAUCUUUCGAUUCUGUGCUAUUCCUCAGGUCAUGGCAAUUGGGACAUUAGCUAUGUGCUACGACAAUAUCGAAGUCUUCAGAGGAGUGGUAAAAAUGAGGCGUGGUCUGACUGCUAAGGUCAUUGACCGGACCAGGACUAUGGCAGAUGUAUAUGGUGCUUUUUUUGACUUUUCUUGUAUGCUGAAAUCCAAGGUUAAUAAUAAUGAUCCAAAUGCAACAAAAACUUUGAAGAGGCUUGAAGUGAUCCUGAAAACUUGCAGAGAUUCGGGAACCUUGAACAAAAGGAAAUCUUAUGUAAUCAAGAGCGAGUCUAAUUACAGUCCAGUUCUGAUUGUUGUCAUUUUCAUCAUACUGGCUAUUAUUCUUGCACAGCUAUCUGGAAACCGAUCUUAGACCAUCUAUUGGGUUACAAAAAAGAAGUCUGGUCAAGGAAGACAGCACAAGCUCUUGGCCAAUUAUGUGAUUAGUGAAAAUUGUAAUGUUUGAAUUACUAUGUUCAUCAAGUGAUAGUGCACCUUCAACCUGACAAGAUAAUUGCAAGCCUAUUUUCGGUACCUUCAACCUGACAAGAUAAUUGCAAGCCUAUUUUCGGUAGCUUGUUGGGUAUGUACUUGUUUGCAAGCUACAAAAGCAAAUUCCAAACUGUUGUAGAGGCACUUUACUGUAAUACACAUUUCAUUUUAAUAAUGUGUCCAUUUUUGUGGUAAA
Lycium barbarum (goji berry) is the source of this 1713-nucleotide RNA transcript. It is a transcript of the gene named squalene synthase, with no coding region annotated. NCBI's taxonomy places the organism in Eukaryota, Viridiplantae, Streptophyta, Magnoliopsida, Solanales, Solanaceae. The transcript has 15 exons. The record is from RefSeq and is a predicted model, not a curated record.